GACGAACGCUGGCGGCGUGCUUAACACAUGCAAGUCGAACGAAGAGCGAUGGACGCUUGCUUCUAUCACUCUUAGUGGCGAACGGGUGAGUAACGCGUAAUCAACCUGCCCUUCAGAGGGGGACAACAGUUGGAAACGACUGCUAAUACCGCAUAUGAUCCAAUCUCGGCAUCGGGACUGGAUGAAAGGUGGCCUCUAUUUAUAAGCUAUCACUGAAGGAGGGGAUUGCGUCUGAUUAGCUAGUUGGAGGGGUAACGGCCCACCAAGGCGAUGAUCAGUAGCCGGUCUGAGAGGAUGAACGGCCACAUUGGGACUGAGACACGGCCCAGACUCCUACGGGAGGCAGCAGUGGGGAAUCUUCCGCAAUGGACGAAAGUCUGACGGAGCAACGCCGCGUGAGUGAUGACGGCCGUCGGGUUGUAAAGCUCUGUUAAUCGGGACGAAUGGUUCUUGUGCGAAUAGUGCGAGGAUUUGACGGUACCGGAAUAGAAAGCCACGGCUAACUACGUG
Molecule: ribosomal RNA, 510 nt
Filed under: uncultured bacterium
Lineage: Bacteria
Description: partial 16S ribosomal RNA
Rfam family: Bacterial small subunit ribosomal RNA
Source: RNAcentral